Molecule: ribosomal RNA, 551 nt
Filed under: uncultured bacterium
Lineage: Bacteria
Description: bacterial SSU rRNA
Rfam family: Bacterial small subunit ribosomal RNA
Source: RNAcentral
GCUGACGAGUGGCGGACGGGUGAGUAAUGUCUGGGAAACUGCCUGAUGGAGGGGGAUAACUACUGGAAACGGUAGCUAAUACCGCAUAACGUCGCAAGACCAAAGAGGGGGACCUUCGGGCCUCUUGCCAUCGGAUGUGCCCAGAUGGGAUUAGCUAGUAGGUGGGGUAACGGCUCACCUAGGCGACGAUCCCUAGCUGGUCUGAGAGGAUGACCAGCCACACUGGAACUGAGACACGGUCCAGACUCCUACGGGAGGCAGCAGUGGGGAAUAUUGCACAAUGGGCGCAAGCCUGAUGCAGCCAUGCCGCGUGUAUGAAGAAGGCCUUCGGGUUGUAAAGUACUUUCAGCGGGGAGGAAGGGAGUAAAGUUAAUACCUUUGCUCAUUGACGUUACCCGCAGAAGAAGCACCGGCUAACUCCGUGCCAGCAGCCGCGGUAAUACGGAGGGUGCAAGCGUUAAUCGGAAUUACUGGGCGUAAAGCGCACGCAGGCGGUUUGUUAAGUCAGAUGUGAAAUCCCCGGGCUCAACCUGGGAACUGCAUCUGAUACU